CCUACGGGAGGCAGCAGUGAGGAAUAUUGGUCAAUGGCCGGAAGGCUGAACCAGCCAUGCCGCGUGAAGGUCAGUGCCCUAUGGGCGUUAAACUUCUUUUGUGCGGGAGCAAUAAUGGUCACGUGUGGCCAGACGAGAGUACCGUACGAAUAAGCAUCGGCUAACUCCGUGCCAGCAGCCGCGGUAAUACGGGGGAUGCAAGCGUUAGCCGGAUUUAUUGGGUUUAAAGGGUGCGUAGGUUGUGAGGUAAGUCAGCGGUGAAAUGCCCCCGCUCAACGGGGUGAAGUGCCAUUGAUACUGCCAUGCUGGAAUGCGGAUGCCGUGGGAGGAAUGUGUGGUGUAGCGGUGAAAUGCAUAGAUAUCACACAGAACACCGAUUGCGAAGGCAUCUCACGAAUCCGCGAUUGACGCUGAUGCACGAAAGCGUGGGUAUCAAACAGGAUUAGAUACCCUAGUAGUC
RNAcentral lists this ribosomal RNA (460 nucleotides) under uncultured bacterium. Its description in RNAcentral is "partial 16S ribosomal RNA". It matches the Rfam family "Bacterial small subunit ribosomal RNA", at positions 338 to 795 of the family's 1533-position model. The record is from RNAcentral.